RNAcentral lists this small RNA (4145 nucleotides) under Pan troglodytes (chimpanzee). RNAcentral's name for it is "processed transcript". Lineage: Eukaryota; Metazoa; Chordata; Mammalia; Primates; Hominidae. The record is from RNAcentral.
CGGCUGAGUUCCUUCCCCCACCUUCCAGCCCUGAGCCCUGAGAGGGGGAUUGAGCCUGAGAGAGGAGAAGGAGUUUCUUCUUCUUCGAAAACCCCCAUCCACGACUCCUACCCCCUCACCCCUCCAACUCGCCUCCCUCCCGAGCCCCCUCCACCCUCCUCCUCUUUGGCCGUGAGAGGAGGAGAGAAAGAAACCAAAAGCCUCUUAGCAACACAGACCCUUUGCUGCUGCUGUUGCUGCUGCUGCUGCUGUUGCUGCUGCUGCUACUGCUGCUGCUGCUACUGCUGCUGCUUGGCCCUGGCUGGAGACAUCUCACUACACCCAGGAGCAGCCACUUCCCCAGCUCUCCUCCUCCUCCUUCGCCUCCUCCUCCUCCACUCCCCCCCUUUAUUACCCUUUGUGUCAUCCUCCACAGCUCCAGGGAAGGCACUCAAAAGUGGGGGGCAGGAAAGACAAUUAUCAACUUUCCAGUUUUCUAUGGAUAUGAAGAUUUACUCCUAGUCAUCAGUGGGACCCCCAUGAAGUCAGCCAGAAAGCCUAUAUCCAACUUAUGUACCUUUGCAAACUUGUCUGGAUUUUGACUGUAUGUGCAAAACAGAUUGUACUUAGCGAUUCAUUAAACAUCUUUUGAUCAUCUGCUGUCUGCCAGGCACUGUGCUAGGCAUCUGAAAAACAAAGAUGGUCCCUGCAGUUUAAUGUGAAGAGCUAUCUUAAUUGUAUUCCACAAGUGUAUUGGUCGUAUCUUUGUUUUGGUGUUUCUACCUAAAUAAAUUUUAUAUUAACUAAAUGGAUACUGUUAGGUGGAAAAAUGCAUGUUUAAGAAAGAUAUUGCUGUUAUUUUAUUAAAAUACAAAUAUAUAAAGAAAAAUUUUCCACUUAAUACUGUAUUCUAGGGAUUUAUAUUCUGUAUAUAGUUAACACAUUUUAGACAAUGAAAAUAGCCUAUGUGGUUGCCUUUGCUGGAUUUUUAUUGCUAACCGUAAUUCUUUUAAGAUGACCAACAAUGUUCAUUAAGUUAUCUCAUUAAAUUUUUCCAAAAAAAAAAAAAAACACCCCAAACCCUCUAAACUUAAAUCUUUUUCUCAAAAGUAACUUUUUUCUUUUUUAUCUCAUAUAACAGAUUAUCAUUCAUGAUUCAUUGGAAGACAUUGUACAUUUUCAUUUUGAGUUUUCAGAUAUUUUCUACCAAAUUUUAGCAAAUCUAACAGCAUGAUUUAAUUAUUCUGCAGUAAUUAGUGUGCGCUAUUUAGGAGUUUUGGAAUUUUUAGUAUGUAGUAGAAAUAUCAUUGCAAAAUCCUCAUAAGAAACUUCCCAAUUCUAGUUCUAAGUCAGUUGUAAUUUUUAAUCUUUAUUAAGUGGUAUAAUUUCUAUAGCUUUAGUAAAAUGAAUUGGAAUUUUCUUAGUAGAUAGAUGUUUCAAAAACAAAGAAUCUUAUCUCAGUUCCUGUCAUGGCUUUCAUGUGUAAUCGAAAAGUAUAUUAGAAAAAGUACUGGAUUCAAUUUGCCUUUCUUAAAGUAUACCUUUUACAAAAGUAUUGAUUUGCAGUUAAAAAGAAGGUGGGGAUGCCUCUGCUGGUGCAGUAUCUUGUGAAGAUAAAUAGACUCCUGAGUGGUGAAUUCUGAUCUCUUUCACGUUCAUUCUUAACUUUCUAUUUUAGUAAUAAUCAUAGUUACCAUUGAUUAUAAGUACCCAGCACUGUGAUAAAUUGAAUUCACAUUACAUUUAUGACACUUUCUAAUUCAAAACACAGUCACAGUAGAGUUUUUAUCAAUCUGUACACUGGUAAGCGAUGGUAAAAUUAUGGCCCUGAUAGCUUGACAGACUAAUGGAAAAUUUCUGAAAGUUUACAAGUACAGAAAAACAAAGAAAAAAAACCCAGUCUUUUAUAAGGAAUGUAGAUACAGACCAUUGUACAAUUUAAAAUAUACAUAAUGUCAGUCUUUUCUUUGUAUGGCAAAAAUGACAUUUGGGAACUGCUCAUGGUGACUCAACGCUUGUAAUGUAAUCCCAGCUACUCGGAGGCUGAGGCGGGAGAAUUAUUUGAGCCCCAGAUUUUGAGGCUGCAGCGAACUAUGCAAUCCAGCCUAGGCCACAGAGUGGGACCUUGUCUCUAAAAAUAAAAAAUAAGGUCAGGUGGAAUAGCUCAAGCCUGUAAUUCCAACAAUUGGGAGGUGAGGUAGGAGGAUUUAUCACUUGAGGCUAGUAGUUCAGGGUCAGCCUGUGCAAUGUAGUGAGAUCUGAUCUCUACAAAAUCAAAAUAGUAGCUGAGCUUGGUGUGGUGCACACUGUAGUCCCAGCUACUCGGGAGGCUGGAGAGGAUCUCUUGAACUCAGGUUGAGGCUGCAGUGAGCCAUGAUCAUGCCACUGGACUCUGUGCUGAGCAACAGAGUGAGACCCUGUCUCUAAAUAAAUAAAUAAAUAAACAAACAAAAAAAUAAACAGUAAAAAAAAGUUCAGUUCAAUCCUUAUCUGUAUUAAACUUCCUUUAACUUGUGUGGAGUUACAUUUAAUAUUUUCUUAUAUGAAGUUCAAAGGUUGUAACAAUUUCUGAUCCAAUGAAUAUUUACUAUAAAAUUUUUAAUAUAAAUGUGUUGAUGGUGUAAAAGCCCAUAAAAAAUGGGAAGUUUAUAUUGUCUUGUGCUUUGGUGUAUGUAUACACAUUACCUUCUGGACUCUAUCAUACAUUUUCAUAAUUACUACAUUACAUAUAUAGGAUUAAGUUUAAUGUACUCUUUUUAGUACCAAAGUCAGAAAUAUUUUGGUAUAAGAAUGAUCAACUUGUUGGGUUCUCUAGGUGCCUAAAUUAUUUCAUAUUUGUACUUAAAAGCUACUGAAUUAAAAUACUUUUUAAUACAGUUCUCUUUGGGUAGUUGAGUUUUACAUCCUUUACUUUUAAGAGAAAAAAAUUAAAAACUUUUUCUCCUGUUUUUAUUACUUAAGUAACUUUUGUGUCUCUUCUAAGUAAAUACAUGUUCAUAUUAUAAAUUUAUACAGGUUGAGUAUUCCUAAUCCAGAAUUCCAAAAUCCGAAAUGCUUCAAAAUCUGAAAGUUUUUGAGCACUGACAUGAUGCUCAAAGAAAAUGCUCACUGAAGCAUUUUGGAUUUUGGAUUUUGAGGUUAGGGAUGUUCAAUAGAUAUAUAAUGCAAAUAUUCCCAAAUCUGUAAAAAUCCAAAAUUCUAAAUACUUCUGGUCCACAAAACCUUUUGAAUAAGGGAUAUCAACUUUUAUUGACUCUAUCGUCCUGCAAAUAUUAUGCCAGUACAUAAUGACCUGCAGAGUUUGGAAACAUUUUUAAAUGCUAAAGAAAUAUUCUUUAUCAUCUGUUAUAUAUUAGAAAAGUUUAUUGCAAAUGUUUUGUUGCUUAUAAGAAUAAUCCGAAUAAUCAGUAGUGUGAUCUUAAAUAAUUUCUUUAAACAACCCAAAGAUAAUUCAGUUAAAAGUAAAUAUUCUAACUCUAACACUUAGAGUAUUUCUGUUGGAGGUAUUUCUAUGUCAUGUAAGAUGUCAGAAGCUGGGAUGACUCACUGUAACUCACUAUAACUCUUCAAAGAGACAGUGAGAUCCAGGCUUAACUUAUAUUAUGGUAUAAUUUAUUCAAAGUUGGAUAUCACAAAUUUUGAUUUGAGUCCUUAUUUCAGUUGACCUAUAUAACCUUUUAUUAGAGAACUUGUAAUUAAGUUCAGUGUCAUUGAGUAGAUUAUUAGAACACAUUGUUUUAAAGGACUAAUAUGAGUUAUGUAAAUCAGUCACCAACCUUGAAAUGGUGAAAAGUUUUUGUACACAUAUGCUUCACUGAAUUCUUCUGCUAACCAAUCAAGAUUCUAGCAAUGGGAGGAAAAUUUUCUGUGUGGUGCUAAUGUUAAAACUUAAGUUCAUGUGUAGCUUUUAAAAAAAAAAUUUAAUAUCUGUAUCUCAGAAGUUAGAAGUAAUCCUGAAGUGUUUUUUAAGAUUGACUGUGUGCUAAAUUACACUUAGGGUUAUCCUUGUAUUCACAAUUACUGUUUUUUAUACACCAUGAGUCCAGAAGUAUCUACUAAUCUGUUGGCCAUCAACUAACUUAAUCCAUACAUUCUUAAUAUUAUUAGGAUCUAAAAAUAAUAAUUUAGACUGUAUAAGUACAUUUACUGAUGUUGGGGGAGGGAAA